GAGCAUCGUAAACAUUAUUUCAAGAGGUUUCCGAAAAGGAUCUCUAAAAUUAUCAGAGAAUUCACAAUUCAAGAGUACCUAACGAAGAAGAAGGGAAAUUAAUCCUUCAUAUGGCUCAAGUGUUCACAAGAAAUGUGGUUGCCAGCUAAAGAGGAGAGGAGAAAGAUUCUGUGCAACUGAAAGGUCUACCUUAAACAUCACAGUCCAACAUUCAACAGUACCACAGUGCAUCUACAAUGUCCCAAGCUUUAGCUCCGCACCCUACAGCUGUCUGGGUAAAGGAGAGCAUGUGAGUGGACCCAAAGAAUGGCUAGGUAAAGCCCUGUCCAAGUCUAGAACAGCAACAGCCAUGCUGCAGCAAUGUGGAAACAGACCUGAAGAAAAAACUAGCACUGUGAGGAUGGCAGACGGAAGAUGGAAAGAGCUUGGGUCCUUGAGGACACUGUGGAACUGCUGAAGAGACCAUGGAAUUGAGCUGACCAGCCUCCAUUCUUAUUCUGUGUAAUUAUACAUGUCUAUUUUUUUAAAUCUCCAAACCAAAGAAAUAAAACUCUUCCCAGGCUUC
Long non-coding RNA from Homo sapiens (human), 565 nucleotides. The record is from Ensembl. NCBI's taxonomy places the organism in Eukaryota, Metazoa, Chordata, Mammalia, Primates, Hominidae.